CCUACGGGUGGCAGCAGUCGAGAAUCAUUCACAACGGGGGAAACCCUGAUGGUGCGACGCCGCGUGGGGGAAUGAAGGUCUUCGGAUUGUAAACCCCUGUCAUGUGGGAGCAAAUUAAAAAGAUAGUACCACACGAGGAAGAGACGGCUAACUCUGUGCCAGCAGCCGCGGUAAUACAGAGGUCUCAAGCGUUGUUCGGAAUCACUGGGCGUAAAGCGUGCGUAGGCUGUUUCGUAAGUCGUGUGUGAAAGUCGCGGGCUCAACCCGCGGACGGCACAUGAUACUGCGAGACUAGAGUAAUGGAGGGGGAACCGGAAUUCUCGGUGUAGCAGUGAAAUGCGUAGAUAUCGAGAGGAACACUCGUGGCGAAGGCGGGUUCCUGGACAUUAACUGACGCUGAGGCACGAAGGCCAGGGGAGCGAAAGGGAUUAGAUACCCGAGUAGUC
RNAcentral lists this ribosomal RNA (446 nucleotides) under uncultured bacterium. RNAcentral's name for it is "partial 16S ribosomal RNA". It matches the Rfam family "Bacterial small subunit ribosomal RNA", at positions 338 to 795 of the family's 1533-position model. The record is from RNAcentral.